UCUGGUGCACGGGAGGCAAGGCCGGACUCUUUCUUGCGGGAAGGGUCAAAUACCCGGAUGACUGCAGAAAUUCGAGAACACAGCCUCCGCGCCAUAUCAAAUCUCUCCUUAAACAGAAGAAACUGUCGCACAGGCCAUCCCACAUUCCUUCCUAUUUUGCUGGAGAUAGAGCAAAGAGCAUAAUAAAGGCCCUGCGCUCACAAAGCAGAUGUUCUAGUGGGAAGGAAAAGAUAAUGAACAUAAACCAAAUACUUAAAUGAUAGGAUUUCCAUUACUGACACAUGGAAAAUAAAAUAAGUAGAUGUAUUAUAGUGACUGAGGUAGAAAGCGACCAGGUUGGGAGGUGAGGCACUCUUUUGGUGACGGAGGUCAAGGAAGGCCUUGAGAGGGUGACGUCUGAUUAAGAGCUGAACAAAGAGAAGGAGCCAGCCAUGAAUGACCUUCAAGGAAGAACAUUCCAGACAGGGGGAGCUUGUAUAGAGAAAUAUUAAGCUCUAAUUUCUCUGCUCCAGAUUUUAUCUUCCAGAUUCAGUUCUCUUUCUCUGCAAACCAAUUCCCAAUUUUCUUACAAAUACAGCAUAGAAUAGUUUUCCCACAGCCCCCGGGCCUAGCACAAGGCUUGCCAAGAAUAAGCAUUUAACAGAAGAUCAGAGGCUAUGUGGCUCUGUGAACCACACCUGUUCUGUUAUACUCCAUACGGCCUAACACAGCCACCUAUGACCUGAGAUACAAACAAAAGCUUCCAGAAAUCACAGGAAGGAGCCACCAGCAACAAAAUGGGAGGUUUGUUCCCAGGGCCCCUUAGAUAAUCUUUCACUUUUCACAUAACUUUGGCCUUGACCACUGGGCCACUUACCAUGCCCCGUGUACUCAAAAGAAUCUGCUUCGUCAGGGGUAUCGAGUUCAUCCACGUUGAUAUC
This is a long non-coding RNA of Mustela erminea (ermine), 920 nucleotides long. RefSeq lists it as uncharacterized. Lineage: Eukaryota; Metazoa; Chordata; Mammalia; Carnivora; Mustelidae. The transcript is spliced from 3 exons. The record is from RefSeq and is a predicted model, not a curated record.